UACGUAGGUGGCAAGCGUUAUCCGGAUUUACUGGGUGUAAAGGGCGUGUAGGCGGGAAAGCAAGUCAGAUGUGAAAACCAUGGGCUCAACCUGUGGCCUGCAUUUGAAACUGUUUUUCUUGAGUACUGGAGAGUCAGACGGAAUUUCUAGUGUAGCGGUGAAAUGCGUAGAUAUUAGGAGGAACACCAGUGGCGAAGGCGGUCUGCUGGACAGCAACUGACGCUGAGGCGCGAAAGCGUGGGGAGCAAACAGG
RNAcentral lists this ribosomal RNA (253 nucleotides) under uncultured bacterium. RNAcentral's name for it is "partial 16S ribosomal RNA". It matches the Rfam family "Bacterial small subunit ribosomal RNA", at positions 524 to 776 of the family's 1533-position model. The record is from RNAcentral.